AGCCCCGUAGUGUAGUGGUCCAGCAUAAGGGGUUUUGGUCCCCUCGACCCAGGUUCAAAUCCUGGCGGGGCUACCA
Molecule: transfer RNA, 76 nt
Filed under: Candidatus Thorarchaeota archaeon
Lineage: Archaea; Promethearchaeati; Candidatus Thorarchaeota
Description: tRNA-Gln
Rfam family: tRNA
About the family: Transfer RNA (tRNA) molecules are approximately 80 nucleotides in length.
Source: RNAcentral